CCUACGGGAGGCAGCAGUGAGGAAUAUUGGUCAAUGGGCGGAAGCCUGAACCAGCCAAGUAGCGUGCGGGAUGAAUGCCCUACGGGUCGUAAACCGCUUUUGCACGGGGAUAACACCCUCCACUUGUGGAGGUCUGCAGGGAUCGUGCGAAUAAGGGCCGGCAAAUUCCGUGCCAGCAGCCGCGGUAAUACGGAAGGCCCGAGCGUUAUCCGGAUUCAUUGGGCUUAAAGGGAGCGUAGGCGGGCGUUCAAGUCAGCGGGAAAAUCGCGGGGCUCAACCCCGCCCCGCAGUUGAAACUGGGCGCCUUGAGUGGACAAGAGGCAGGCGGAAUUCGUGGUGUAGCGGUGAAAUGCAUAGAUAUCACGAGGAACCCCGAUUGCGAAGGCAGCCUGCCGGGGUGCGACUGACGCUGAGGCUCGAAGGUGCGGGUAUCAAACAGGAUUAGAUACCCCAGUAGUC
Molecule: ribosomal RNA, 459 nt
Filed under: uncultured bacterium
Lineage: Bacteria
Description: partial 16S ribosomal RNA
Rfam family: Bacterial small subunit ribosomal RNA
Source: RNAcentral